AAAAGUUCAGUGGUAGAGCAAAAAUAGACAUCACCGAUCUACCAAUCGACUGGAUUUGCUCUCCAUGCGUAACUUGUCUCCGCUGCCACCAUAGAAACCAGCUCGCCGUAAGAACAAGAUCCCCAACAUGCAAGAACUAUAGUGAGUAUUUGUUCGUUCUUAUCAUCUCGUCCAGCACCAAUAGAUUCCGAGCGAUCUAAAUAAAUGGACAUCACCUCCUUAAGCCUAUGUUCUUUCCACACUGGCUUGCUCUUUCUCACAUUGGGAAAAACUGUUUUGCUAAGUCUCAGUCGACUUAGACUUCGUUAUGUCUGAGUCGGUGUUAUAUUUCUUUGAUCUUGCAAGGAGAUUCGUAAAAAAAAUCUUUACGGUUUUUUUUCUCCUUAUACUAUAUCACUUGACUAAAACAUGGUUAAGUCUCAGUCGACUAAGACCUAACCACACCCAUUGAAAAAUCAUGUGUUUGAGGUCCUCAUAAGUCAUAACCCACUUGGCAUAGGGAGUGGCUACAGAUCAAUCGACUGACUCAAAAAGUGGUCAGUCGAAUGUUAACAAAGGGAAAAGAUUGCAACCCAGAAAGAAAGCUGACUGACCCAAAACUAUUGUCAGUCAGUCAGCCCAACAGAAAGAAAGCCUUAGAACAUUCUGUUUCUUUCUUCUGUUCUUUCUUUAGCCCAGAGAGAAAACGGGCCUGAAUCCGCUAAGCUAAAGAUCCAGUCAUCGUAUAGCUCACUAGCAGGGCCGGUCCUGAGAUUUCCGGGGCCCGGGGCGAGACAACACGGAGGGGCCCUAAAGCCACAUAAACAUGUGCAUAUUUUUAUGUCUAUUUCAACUGCAAAUAAAUAUUUAGCAAACUAUAAUUUAUGGUGCCUUGUCUUCUUGACUAUUAAGAAACUGGGGUCAUAAACAUUCACAGUAAAAGUGGAUCUCCACCCUUAUACUGUAUAUAUUUGUAUUAUUAGGUGAAUUAGUAGCACUAUCAUGCCUACUAAUUUUUUUAUCUUCCUAUAGUUUUCACUAGUUGUUCUUGAACAACUAAAGCUAACUCCUUGGAGUUCCUAGCAGUAGAAAUAUUGUUUCUUUUUGCAGGGAAUCCGUAGAGCACUUGUAUCUGCUCUAAAAAAAUGUCAACACCUCAUGUGAGACUCAAUUAACUCAUAUGCUUGUGUUUCCUCAAUUAUCAGAUGGAUUUUUUUCUGGAUAGCAUCUUGCUAAAUGAAUGGCAAUCUUGCUAAUCAGCACACAACAUAUGAUACAAGAAAUUAAGAGUACUGCUAAUUAAAUAAAAGUGCUAAGUAAGGCAUGGAACAAGUUACCUGGAUGGCUAGAAAAAUUGAAGUCGCAUAAUUUUGCUGUUGCGUCACGGACAGAAGUCAGAGUUUUUGUUUUCUAAUCCGAAUCAAUACAAGAAACUAGAGUAUAUGAGAAAAAGAGACGUACGAGGAUAAUCUUCAGGAAACGAACGACCAACAAGAAUAGAAAGAAAAAAUUUGCAUUGAAGAGAAGAUUGUUGGGAAUCUGGAAACCACAUUACCUUCUUCCACUAAUGGCGCCUAGCAGCCAAAAAUUACAAUUAGACGAGUGGGAGGGGCGCCGUCAUUCAUGGCAUGGCUGAUUUGUUGCCAAUUGGGGAGGAAGAGUAUUAAGCCGAGAGGACUGCACGGCGUGUUAAUCCAUUAAUUAUUUUUUGUUUCCUUUUGGAGAAUCAAUCAACCGGCAAAACAAUCACACGUAUACAGGGAAACCAAAUCAAUCGGGGGGCCCUUCCUACUCGUGGGCCCGGGGCGCCCGCCCCCCCUGNNN
This 1803-nucleotide long non-coding RNA is filed under the name Triticum aestivum (bread wheat). Its description in RNAcentral is "long non-coding RNA (TAES_LNC016708)". Lineage: Eukaryota; Viridiplantae; Streptophyta; Magnoliopsida; Poales; Poaceae. The record is from RNAcentral.